CUUACAGAACUGUCAGUUGCUUUCUUCCUAAUCCGGGAGGUCCUUAAAGGCCAGCCUCAUGGUCUGAAGCUGAAGAAGCUAAAAAAGGCCUUGAAUAAAAAUUGCAGAUUUAACCUGGAGACAUUCAGCUCUAACUUGGGCUACAAGGAUGUGAUGUCCUGCCUCCAAGAUAUGCCUGGACUGCUUCUCCGAAACAUUACUAAGCCCCGGAAUUAUGUUGUCCAACUGGAAUCACGUGCUUGUAGCCCUGCUCCUUCCUUGGAUUCAGAUUUCUCUGCCUGCAAUUCAGACACCACACCCUCGGGACUAAAGAGAGAGGAGUUUGGUAAGCUUGUUCUCCGAAUUCUGUCUCCAGCAGACCGGUUGAGCCCUUGCUAGCUCUGCUCUGUGUAUUUGUGUAUUGAUUCACAAGAUAAUGCCACAGCUCAACCGGAGCACCCCUCAGACAUAGACAGUCUGAAUGAAAGCUGUCCUUUCAUAUUCCCAGUUCAUAUUUAAAAAACCGAGUCUACAAUAGUGGAAUCAGAAAACACACAAGAAGUAAUUAAAACAGACAGUCAGCAGAAAUGAAGCAAAUGGUGGCAGGACGAAAAGCAGGGGAAAGUGUUUUAUUUCCUUGCUGAAUCCAUCCCACUUUGUCAAUCUCCCUUGUUCCCUUCCAUUUAAAUCCUCUUCAAGCAUCACCACAGUAAUGCUUUCCUUUUUAGCCUUAAGAAUGUUUUACUGAAUGGCAUAUGCACAACAGAACCAGAAACAUCACAGAAAGCCACAAAACCAGACUGUGACGAUUGCCCCAUGUCACUCCUGUCACUCAUAUUCAGGAUCUCAUUUGCAUGAGCCUAUGAGAGGAGUAGAGGGGCGGAGUCAGCGGAUAUGAGGAGGUUUCGGAUAUAAGAAAGUUGGACAGAAGAGAUCAAGGAAGGAGAUAUAGAAUUUGCAGAGAGAGAGAUAGUCAGGGAGAUAGUGAGAACAGAUACUAAGAUAUAAGCUGGUCAAGAUCAAUAGAGCAGGUGGUGAUUGGUUAUGUGGCAAGAUAUAUGACAUUUUAAUGAUUUGAUAGUAUGCAUUGAAUAAAGAACAUCUGUGAUUCUGAUUAAAUUUAACA
Molecule: long non-coding RNA, 1105 nt
Filed under: Pogona vitticeps (central bearded dragon)
Lineage: Eukaryota; Metazoa; Chordata; Lepidosauria; Squamata; Agamidae
Description: lncRNA (ENSPVIG00000004733.1)
Source: RNAcentral